RNAcentral lists this long non-coding RNA (901 nucleotides) under Brassica rapa (field mustard). RNAcentral describes it as "long non-coding RNA (BRAP_LNC000048)". The record is from RNAcentral. Lineage: Eukaryota; Viridiplantae; Streptophyta; Magnoliopsida; Brassicales; Brassicaceae.
UUUCUCCGCAAUUCAAAAUUGAGAGUUUGUAUACUAGAAUGGUAAUUACUAAUUUGGAGUGUUUUGUGUGUAUUCUAAUUUUGUUUGAAGACCUACCUGAAGCUCUAUUUACGUUGAUACAAAAAUUUAAUUAGAUAUUUGAGGAAUAAUUUUCUUGUGUUGAUGAUACAUUUGUUUUUGAACCAUUGUGUUAUGUGUAGUUGAUAUAUUGAUACAUUUGAUUAAAUGAAACACGAUGUUGACUUUCGUUGUUAACUACUAAUAAAAGAACACGAUUUAUCUAACAUCAUCGCAUGGCAUAUAACUACCAAUUUUGAUUGCUAUAUAUACGCACACGAUUUUUUUUUUUUUUUUGUAGCUUGUUCAGUUUAAUCAGGUGAACGUUGAAAAUUGAUAGACGUUAGUAAAAUGAAAAGAUGACAACAAAAUGGUCAUAAAUCACUGUAAUUAGGGGAUCUCGACCUUUUUUGUUUUCCCUAACAAAGGAGAUUAUCUCGAAUAUUUAGUGGUUUACGGUGAAAGCAGACAUUAACCUAUUAUACUUUUGAAAAUCUUGCACAAAACGACACCGACCCGUCAAUUUUUAAUUCGUAUCGUCCUAAAAGAUAAUUAAAUAUCUAAAUAAAGCUCCUAGUUCUUAUACACAACCCGUGUUUAUAUCUACGAAGUUUCCCUUUAAAGUACGUGUUUGCAUAAUGUGAAUGGGCGAAUUGAUAAUUUGAUAGGACAAUACUAUACAGUCGGCUGCACAUAAAAGCCUUGCGUCGCGUUCGACCAAUUUUUUUCCACAUACGCAUCGUGACACCACCAUUCUCAUUUACACCCAAUUCUCGUGCUUGCCGAGUGGUUCAAUUUCACACCAUUUAAUGAUUUUAAUCUCGAAAAUUAAACCGCAAUUUAC